Molecule: transfer RNA, 73 nt
Filed under: Felis catus (domestic cat)
Lineage: Eukaryota; Metazoa; Chordata; Mammalia; Carnivora; Felidae
Rfam family: tRNA
About the family: Transfer RNA (tRNA) molecules are approximately 80 nucleotides in length. Their secondary structure includes four short double-helical elements and three loops (D, anti-codon, and T loops).
Source: Rfam by way of RNAcentral
ACCUGGCUGGCUCAUUCAGAAGAGCAUAUGACUCUUGAUCUCAAGGUCGUGGGUUUGAGCCCCACACUGGGUG